Non-coding RNA from Bacteroidetes bacterium GWD2_45_23, 403 nucleotides. NCBI's taxonomy places the organism in Bacteria, Pseudomonadati, Bacteroidota. The record is from Rfam.
GGGGUUGACCGGUAUUGACAGCGGGUAGAAGAGGUUUGUAAGCAUGCAGUGCGUUGUUGGUUUGCACUUUAAUCUCAAUCGGCAAAGCUAUAACUGGCAAUAAUAACAAUUACGCUCUUGCUGCGUAACCGAAGUACAGUAGGUUCAUCGCUUAAUUCUGCCACAUGUGGCGGAACAAGACAUCACCCGGAAGCUGUGGCUUCGAAGCAUUCCGAUCAGGUGGUGCAGGUAAAUCGGAGAUAGGAUGGGAGAGGCUUCGGCUCCUUUCCGAAAUUAAGAAGAUAAGGAUUGAGUUUGGUGUCUUCAGUCGCGCUCCUUCCCGACAAAUAAAAUGAAGAUAAGCAUGUAGAAAGCAGAUUGCUUCCUCGUUUGGACGAGGGUUCGAGUCCCUCCAGCUCCACAA